GGACGUUGAAAAAUAAAUUUUGAGACCAAAUUGCCCUUAAUCUUCGUCUGAUAGUAUCUAUAGCGUACGGGAGCUGCUACAAUUCUAAACCCUCCUCUGUGUGAUUCCAUCCUGUGCUGCCACUGUGUGAUUCCAUCCUCUGCUGCGUGUGUGAUUCCAUCCUCUGUUGCGUGUGUGGCGAAUCCUCUACUGCAAUUUCGAAUCCUCUAAACCAAACCCUCAUAUGUGUGAUUCCAUCCUCUGCGAUUUCGAGUAAACCCUCCCUCCUGCUUCGAAAACCAAACCCGACUGCAAUUUCAAUUUCGAGCGAAUCCUCUAAACCAAACCCUCCUGGUUUCGAUUUCGAGGUUCAUUCCAUAUUGACACUUCCAUUGUUUUCCAUGGCUGGGAGAGUGGGUGUCACAGUAAAUAAUCUGGCUAUAUGAGUACCAUUUGGAGAAAAGUGUUUACUUAACUGCUUGCUACAUACUGGUACAUUCUAUGACCGGACAGAGUAUAAAAUUUCUUAUACAUAUAGCUCUGUGUUCUCCAAUUUCCAGUCAGUCGUGAUUAGUUUCCAUCCUGAUUUGCUUUCUCUAGUGUGUACUUCAUUAACCACCCCAUUGCCCCCAAUGGGUUUCAACCCUGCUUUGUCUUUUUUGAAAUAUUCGUUUCCUUUUCCCUCCAUUAUUUCUAACCUUUUGUUUGUUUUAUUGAUUUGAUCUGGUUUCUGGGUGAAGCUCCAAAUAGCUGUUCUUAUUGUUUGCAUUUAGAUUUUAACAAGAUAAAAUGGAUAUAUGAAUUUUUAAUUGUUUAAUAGUAUUACUUACUCUAUUUCUUGCUCUCCUCGUCUGUGGAAACGGUUCAAUUAUCUCUUGUUGUUUAAUUAGCCACAUGGACGUGUACGUUGAUGAUACAAGGAAAUAGCUAGUUUGUAAUAGAGGACCAUUUUCCUUUUCAUGUGUAUAAAUGAGAUUUCUUUCAUUCUUUUCAAGAUUAUAUAGCCUCUGAAGCAGGAUAAUGUAUUGCUGCAAUUACUUUUCUCCUUGUCAAACCAAAAUAGGCCAGAUGCCAGAUUUGCUACCAUCCUUUGCUUUCUAUUGAAUUAUGUGUCCAUUCAUGAGUUUUUUUUGUAGUAAUAAAUGGUUCCUUCAAUUUUUUCCCUGCAGGAGAAGUAAAAUUUAAAGGAAAUUGUACGACCUGAGCUAAAGCCUUGCUUGUACAAGCGUCGAUGAGCUCAGAAAACUGUUUGAAGUUAAUGGGCUUGCCUCAUUUUGUUGCUCAUGCAUAAAUUCAAAAUUAGUGUCCAUACCCCAGGACUUGCAAUAUCUAUAUGGCUAUGUAGUUUCCUGAUCCUGAUGUAUCUGAUAUAACUUGUGUGCAUGUUUCAAUAUCAGUUUUGACUUUUGAUUGCGGUAUUUUCAGCUUACUGUUGUAUAUUUGCAAGUUCAUUCUGCCUUAGAAUUUAAUCAUAAACUUCCUUUUAAUUUCCUGCAUAUGUAAGUCUGUUUUUGUAGAAUAUAUUUUAUUGUGUCUGAUCA
Molecule: long non-coding RNA, 1520 nt
Filed under: Panax ginseng (ginseng)
Lineage: Eukaryota; Viridiplantae; Streptophyta; Magnoliopsida; Apiales; Araliaceae
Description: long non-coding RNA (PGIN_LNC007559)
Source: RNAcentral